GGAUAAAUACACAUUAAACAGUAAUAGACGCUACAUUGGAUUAAGACAAAUGACAUAAAUCAAUAUAUAUCACUCAGAAUAGUACAAAUGAUACAAUACAUCGCCAAGAAUCACAUAAAAGAUUAAAAUUACAAAAGAAAAUGCAAAAACACACGCGGUAGAGACUAGUAGAAUAAAAUAGGUAAAAAUCACGCAGUUGGAAUCCGAAAGAUUAGUUGGAUGGAGGAGGUGAAAGUGUUGGAAUUGCAGGCAUGUUGGGAAGUGAAGGCAUUGGUGGCAGAGUCAUUUUCGGAACAGAGGGCAAUGUUGGCAAAGAUGGUAAUGGUGUUGCUGUUGGAAGUGUUGGCAAUGGUGGCAAUGCUGCAGGGAAAUUGGGA
Molecule: long non-coding RNA, 377 nt
Filed under: Solanum lycopersicum (tomato)
Lineage: Eukaryota; Viridiplantae; Streptophyta; Magnoliopsida; Solanales; Solanaceae
Description: partial TCONS_00071366
Source: RNAcentral